GGAGUCUUGGUAUUUUUAAUUGCCCUCAUAAUUUUUAUUACCAGUUAUGAGUAUCCUGGGUGACUAUGUCAUAGACCAAGAAAAUAACCUCUGAACAGAAUAUGCCAAGAGUGAAGUGGGCUGGGGCAUUUCAUUUCUAAAAGUACACAUGGCAUGGAGUCAGCAGCUUCACGCUGGGAAGUGCCCGAGAAAAGGGGAGGAGCGAUGCACCCCUGGCCUGCUGAGAGGAGUCUGUGCCAGCCUCACUUCUGAUGCCUCACAGCUCUCUGACACGAUUGCAUCCCCCAGAUGCCUCACGGAGAAAAUGUGAAUUUGGGACUGGUGACACGUCAAUUAAUUUCACAACACCGGAAAGCACACUCAGGAUGCUGGUCUUAUCACGUGUUGGAUCUCACUGGAUUAGCUGUUUUCCCUCCAGUGGCUGGAGCCUAGGACCAUCCUGGAUGGCAGCAUCUCAGACUCAGAAUAGUGCAGCAACAGGGAAAGCUAUUCAAAAAGUAUAUCCAGUGGGAAGAGAGUUCUCAAAAAAUUGUAUAUACACUAUUAUUAUAACAGCAUGAUAUUAUGUCUGUGGGGCAGGGCACGGGGAGAUGUUUAUUGCAAAUGUAUUUUGGUCAGGUUUAGGAAUUUAUACUUUAAAAAGCCAACUUUUAAGUGCAUAUUUUAAUGAGUUUUGAGAAAUGAAUACAAUUGCAUAGCCAAGAUGCAGAAAAUUUUCACCACCUAGAAAAGUAUGCUUGGUGUCUAUUGUUCCCUUCUUUAUGUCCAUGUGUGCUCUAUGUUUAGUUCCCACUUAUAAGUGAGAAUAUGUGGUAUUUGGUUUUCUGUUUCUGUCUUAAUUUGCUUAGGCUUGCAGCCAUUAUCCUGAAAGGACAUAAUUUUGUUAUUUUAUAGCUGUGUAGUAUUCCAUGGUAUAUAUGUACCUCAUUUUCUUUAUUCAGUCCACUACUGAUGGGCAUCUAGGCUGAUUCCAUGUCUUUGCUAUUGUAAAUAGUGCUGUGAUCAACAUAUGCACGCAUAUGUCUUUGCCGUGGAAUGAUCUAUAUCUCUUUGGGUAUAUACGCAAAAUGGGAUGGCUAGGCUGAAGGGUAUUUCUGUCUUAAGUUCCUUGAGAAAUCUCCAAACUGCUUUCCAUGGUGGCUGAACUACUUUACAUUCCCACCAGCAGUGUAUAAACGAGCCGUAUUCUCUGCAACCUUACCAGAAUCUGUUGUUUUUUGAACUUUUAAUAGUAGCCAUUCUGACUGGUGUGAGAUGAUAUCUCAUUGUGGUUUUUAAUUUGCAUUUCUCUAAUGAUUAAUGAUGUUGAGUAUUUUUUCAUCUGCUUGUUGGCUGAGUGUAUGUCUUCAUUUGAGAAGUGUC
Molecule: long non-coding RNA, 1362 nt
Filed under: Homo sapiens (human)
Lineage: Eukaryota; Metazoa; Chordata; Mammalia; Primates; Hominidae
Description: HSALNT0122300
Source: RNAcentral